This 490-nucleotide ribosomal RNA is filed under the name uncultured bacterium. RNAcentral describes it as "partial 16S ribosomal RNA". It matches the Rfam family "Bacterial small subunit ribosomal RNA", at positions 30 to 507 of the family's 1533-position model. The record is from RNAcentral.
AUUGAACGCUGGCGGCAGGCCUAACACAUGCAAGUCGAACGGUAACAGGCAGCAGCUUGCUGCUUUGCUGUCGAGUGGCGGACGGGUGAGUAAUGUCUGGGAAACUGCCUGAUGGAGGGGGAUAACUACUGGAAACGGUAGCUAAUACCGCAUAACGUCGCAAGACCAAAGAGGGUGACCUUCGGGCCUCUUGCCAUCCGAUGGGCCCAGCUGGGAAUAGCUAGUCGGUGGGGUAACGGCUCACCGAGGCCACGAUCACUACCUGGUAUGAGAGGAUGAGCAGACGCACUAGAAGUGAGACACGCUCCAGACCCCUACGAGUGGAAGCAGUGGGGAAUAUUGAAUAUGGAGCGCAAGCAUCAUGCCACCCUACCGCGUGUAUGAGAGAUUACUUGCCAUUGUAAAACACAUUCUGAAGGGGGGAAGGGGUUUAAGAUAAUAGCUUAACUCAAUGACGUUACCCGCAAAAGAAGCGCCGGCUUUCUCCGUG